This 253-nucleotide ribosomal RNA is filed under the name uncultured bacterium. RNAcentral describes it as "partial 16S ribosomal RNA". It matches the Rfam family "Bacterial small subunit ribosomal RNA", at positions 524 to 776 of the family's 1533-position model. The record is from RNAcentral.
UACGUAGGGGGCAAGCGUUAUCCGGAUCUACUGGGUGUAAAGGGAGCGUAGACGGUUAUGCAAGUCAGAAGUGAAAGCCCAAAGCUCAACUUCGGGACUGCUUUUGAAACUGUGUAACUAGAGUGCAGGAGGGGUAAGCGGAAUUCCUAGUGUAGCGGUGAAAUGCGUAGAUAUUAGGAGGAACACCGGCGGCGAAGGCGGCUUACUGGACUGUAACUGACGUUGAGGCUCGAAAGCGUUGGGAGCAAACAGG